This 562-nucleotide ribosomal RNA is filed under the name uncultured bacterium. Its description in RNAcentral is "bacterial SSU rRNA". It matches the Rfam family "Bacterial small subunit ribosomal RNA", at positions 338 to 915 of the family's 1533-position model. The record is from RNAcentral.
CCUACGGGAGGCAGCAGUGGGGAAUCUUGCGCAAUGGGCGAAAGCCUGACGCAGCAACGCCGCGUGCGGGAUGAAGGCCUUCGGGUUGUAAACCGCUUUUAACAGGAACGAAAAUGACGGUACCUGUAGAAUAAGGUGCGGCCAACUACGUGCCAGCAGCCGCGGUGACACGUAGGCACCAAGCGUUGUCCGGAUUUAUUGGGCGUAAAGAGCUCGUAGGCGGUUCGAUAAGUCGGGUGUGAAAACUCUGGGCUUAACCCAGAGACGCCACUCGAUACUAUUGUGACUAGAGUUCGGUAGGGGAGCGGGGAAUUCCUAGUGUAGCGGUGAAAUGCGCAGAUAUUAGGAGGAACACCGGUGGCGAAGGCGCCGCUCUGGGCCGAAACUGACGCUGAGGAGCGAAAGCGUGGGUAGCAAACAGGAUUAGAUACCCUGGUAGUCCACGCCGUAAACGGUGGGCACUAGGUGUGGGCUCCAACCAACGGAGUCCGCGCCGUCGCUAACGCAUUAAGUGCCCCGCCUGGGGAGUACGGCCGCAAGGUUAAACUUAAAUGAAUUGAGG